RNAcentral lists this unclassified non-coding RNA (240 nucleotides) under soil metagenome. RNAcentral describes it as "partial contains 5.8S ribosomal RNA, internal transcribed spacer 2, and large subunit ribosomal RNA". The record is from RNAcentral.
AAGACUAUAGACCUGCGGAGUACCUGCGGAAGGAUCAUUAAAGAGUUGCAAGACUCCCAAACCAUUGUGAACGUUACCCACACCGUUGCUUCGGCGGGCGGCCCGGGCCCUGCCCGGCGCCCCCCGGCCCCUCGCGGGCGCCCGCCGGAGGUAAACCAAACUCUUGAAUUGUAUGGCCUCUCUGAGUCUUCUGUACUGAAUAAGUCAAAACUUUCAACAACGGAUCUCUAGAUCGGAAGA